AAUCUGAUCUAAAAGCUCUAAGUUGAAGCCAUUGCUUCAUACCUGAGCUACUUGGAUCAAGAUUAGCUUGCGGGGACCCUUUUUUAUGGAGCUGUUGCUUAGGAAGAUGAUCGUGACACUAGGGCGGACCUGUGCCAUAGAGACUUAAAAUAAAGAUAGAACUAGUUUAAUUAUAUUCUAAACUCUUUAUUUCCUGUUUUGAGACAAUGUAACACGCUUGUUUGAUAAAUA
Molecule: long non-coding RNA, 231 nt
Filed under: Helianthus annuus (common sunflower)
Lineage: Eukaryota; Viridiplantae; Streptophyta; Magnoliopsida; Asterales; Asteraceae
Description: sRNA HanXRQr2_Chr08g0344921
Source: RNAcentral